RNAcentral lists this ribosomal RNA (253 nucleotides) under uncultured bacterium. RNAcentral describes it as "partial 16S ribosomal RNA". It matches the Rfam family "Bacterial small subunit ribosomal RNA", at positions 524 to 776 of the family's 1533-position model. The record is from RNAcentral.
UACGUAGGGUGCAAGCGUUAAUCGGAAUUACUGGGCGUAAAGCGUGCGCAGGCGGUUGUGCAAGACAGAUGUGAAAUCCCCGGGCUUAACCUGGGAACUGCAUUUGUGACUGCACGGCUAGAGUGUGUCAGAGGGGGGUAGAAUUCCACGUGUAGCAGUGAAAUACGUAGAUAUGUGGAGGAAUACCGAUGGCGAAGGCAGCCCCCUGGGAUAACACUGACGCUCAUGCACGAAAGCGUGGGGAGCAAACAGG